UAAGUCACUUUGUCUUUAUGGCAAAUGUGAGAUGCAGUGUAUGGAACGUCUAUAAUCUAGUAUGAGAAAUUAACGAUUUAAGUCCUUCUUAAAUGAGGCCAUUUACCCAUAGAGGGUGCCAGGCCCGUAUAACGUUAAUGAUUAUUAGAAGGCGUUUCCAAAGAGUCGUGUUGCUUGAUAGUGCAGCACUAAGUGGGUGGUAAACUCCAUCUAAAACUAAAUAUAACCAUGAGACCGAUAGUAAACAAGUACCGUGAGGGAAAGUUGAAAAGAACUCUGAAUAGAGAGUUAAAUAGUACGUGAAACUGCUUAGAGGUUAAGCCCGAUGAACCUGAAUAUCCAAUAUGGAAAAUUCAUCAUUAUGCCCGUUAUAUAAAUUUAAAAAAAUAUAAUGGAAAUAGUGUGCAUUUUUUCUAUAUAAGGACAUUGUAAUCUAUUAACAUAUUGAAUAUUUAUCAUAAGAUCAUUGGCACAAGUUUAUUCAAAUUAAUUUGCUUGCAUUUUAACAUAGAAUAAAUGCUUUUGAUUUGAUAAAGUGUUGAUAGAUUUAUAAAUAUAUAGUGCUUAAAUUCAUUUAUGAAUUUUAUAAUGAUGUAAUUAUCUAAUGAUUUUUAUAUUUAUUAUAUGCGCUUAUAUGAUUAACAAUGCGAUAGAUUCAGGAUACCUUCGGGACCCGUCUUGAAACACGGACCAAGGAGUCUAACAUAUGUGCAAGUCAUUGGGAUUUAAUAAUUAAACCCAAAAGCGUAAUUAACUUAACUGUACAUAAUGGGAUUAGUUUUUAGUCUAUUUUAUAGUCUAUUAAUUCAAUCCCGGGGCGUUCUAUAUGGUUAUGUAUAAUAAUAUUUAUAUUAUUUAUACCUCUAACUGGAGCGUACCUUGAGCAUAUAUGCUGUGACCCGAAAGAUGGUGAACUAUACUUGAUCAGGUUGAAGUCAGGGGAAACCCUGAUGGAAGACCGAAACAGUUCUGACGUGCAAAUCGANNNNNNNGAUAGAAUAAUGUAGGUAAGGGAAGUCGGCAAAUUAGAUCCGUAACUUCGGGAUAAGGAUUGGCUCUGAAGAUUGAGAUAGUCGGGCUUGAUUGGGAAGCAAUAACAUGGUUUAUGUACUCGUUCUGGAUAAAUAGAGAUUUUCGGAUCUUGUUCCCCGGAUAGUAGCUACGUAACCAAUUGUGGAACUUUCUUGCUAAAAUUUUUAAGGAAUUAUCGCAAGAUAUAUUCUUUUUAAAUUAUAACGAUUAUCAAUUAACAAUCAAUUCAGAACUGGCACGGACUUGGGGAAUCCGACUGUCUAAUUAAAACAAAGCAUUGUGAUGGCCCUAGCGGGUGUUGACACAAUGUGAUUUCUGCCCAGUGCUCUGAAUGUCAAAGUGAAGAAAUUCAAGUAAGCGCGGGUAAACGGCGGGAGUAACUAUGACUCUCUUAAGGUAGCCAAAUGCCUCGUCAUCUAAUUAGUGACGCGCAUGAAUGGAUUAACGAGAUUCCUACUGUCCCUAUCUACUAUCUAGCGAACCACAGCCAAGGGAACGGGCUUGGAAUAAUUAGCGGGGAAAGAAGACCCUGUUGAGUUUGACUCUAGUCUGGCAGUGUAAGGAGACAUAAGAGGUGUAGCAUAAGUGGGAGAUAGAUAAUUUCGGUUGUUUAUCGACAAUGAAAUACCACUACUCUUAUUGUUUCCUUACUUACUUGAUUAAGUGGAACGUGUAUCAUUGCCUAGCCAUUAUACGGAUAUAUUUAUAUGUCUUAUGGUAUUGGGUCUUGAUGCAAGGUUCUUGAUCAAAGUAUCACGAGUUUGUUAUAUAAUUGUAAACAAGUGUUAAUGAAAUGAUAGUAUUUCGGUAUUAUUGUUAUAAUUGAUAUUUGGUAUAACUCCUACACUCAGAUAUGAUCCAAUUCAAGGACAUUUCCAGGUGGGGAGUUUGACUGGGGCGGUACAUCUCUCAAAUAAUAACGGAGGUGUCCCAAGGCCAGCUCAGUGCGGACAGAAACCACACAUAGAGCAAAA
This 2006-nucleotide ribosomal RNA is filed under the name Pherbellia cinerella. RNAcentral's name for it is "eukaryotic LSU rRNA". It matches the Rfam family "Eukaryotic large subunit ribosomal RNA", at positions 115 to 2706 of the family's 3401-position model. The record is from RNAcentral. Lineage: Eukaryota; Metazoa; Arthropoda; Insecta; Diptera; Sciomyzidae.